This 200-nucleotide unclassified non-coding RNA is filed under the name uncultured Chaetothyriales. Its description in RNAcentral is "sequence contains ITS1". The record is from RNAcentral. Lineage: Eukaryota; Fungi; Ascomycota; Eurotiomycetes; Chaetothyriales.
UCGAGUUAGGGUGCGCCUUUAAACCGCCGCCCAACCUCCCAACCCUGUGUCUAUUAUACCAAGUUGCUUCGGUGGGCCGGAAUCGACCAACUGGUCGAGUCCGCCGGCCCCGCGGCUGGAGAGCUGCCCACCGAUGGCCUUCUUAUACACUCUUGUACCGAAAUCUGUCGUCUAAUCUUGAUUGCAAAUCAAUCGAAAUA